This is a long non-coding RNA of Amphimedon queenslandica, 428 nucleotides long. RefSeq lists it as uncharacterized. The record is from RefSeq and is a predicted model, not a curated record. Lineage: Eukaryota; Metazoa; Porifera; Demospongiae; Haplosclerida; Niphatidae. The transcript has 2 exons.
CUGAACAGAAAGUCAGCAACAUUCUUUACAAUUUUUCUUGAAAAAAACCAUUACUGUUUCACUUUUGUUGUGUUACACUUCACUGGUUGUGGCGAGGGCAUGUGCUAUAGUGCACUCGUUGCCCUCGCCCACGCCGUAGGCGUAUAGGCGAGGGUACUGCGCUCGUCGUGUCAGUGUGUGUGUGUGUGUGUUCGCAAUAUGGCGUCUUUUUCUCUGUUUUCAAAUCCUUGCUGCUCUUUGCUCAGGUCCUGUGGAGUCCCACUGUCAACUAAAAUAAUUGCCAAAAGUAGUUUUUCUUCAGUUUACUUCUUCAUCUGUCUUCUCCUUGGCAGCAUGAGCCAGUAAUGUUGCUAAACGUAGUCAGGAUUCCGGGUAACUCUCUCAUGACGAAAGAAAUUUGUCUUAAAUUCUUAAUUUCUGAGAUAUGG